GACGAACGCUGGCGGCGUGCUUAACACAUGCAAGUCGAACGGAAAGGCCCUGCUUUUGUGGGGUGCUCGAGUGGCGAACGGGUGAGUAACACGUGAGUAACCUGCCCUUGACUUUGGGAUAACUUCAGGAAACUGGGGCUAAUACCGGAUAGGAGCUCCUGCUGCAUGGUGGGGGUUGGAAAGUUUCGGCGGUUGGGGAUGGACUCGCGGCUUUUCAUCUUGUUGGUGGGGUAGUGGCUUACCAAGGCUUUGACGGGUAGCCGGCCUGAGAGGGUGACCGGCCACAUUGGGCCUGAGGUACGACCCAGACUGCUACGGGAGGCAGCAGUGGGGAAUAGUGCGCAAUGGGCGGAAGGCUGAUGCAGCAACGCCGCGUGCGGGAUGACGGCUUUCGGGUUGUAAACCGCUUUCGCCUGUGACGAAGCGUGAGUGACGGUAAUGGGUAAAGAAGCACCGGCUAACUACGUG
Molecule: ribosomal RNA, 468 nt
Filed under: uncultured bacterium
Lineage: Bacteria
Description: partial 16S ribosomal RNA
Rfam family: Bacterial small subunit ribosomal RNA
Source: RNAcentral